CCUACGGGAGGCAGCAGUAGGGAAUCUUCCACAAUGGGCGAAAGCCUGAUGGAGCAACGCCGCGUGAGUGAUGAAGGCCUUCGGGUUGUAAAACUCUGUCAUUCGGGACGAACCGGAGUCUGAGGAAAUGCAGACUCUCUGACGGUACCGGAGGAGGAAGCCCCGGCUAACUACGUGCCAGCAGCCGCGGUAAUACGUAGGGGGCAAGCGUUGUCCGGAUUCACUGGGCGUAAAGCGCGCGCAGGCGGUGAUGUAAGUCUGAGGUGAAAACCCGAAGCUCAACUUCGGGACUGCCUUGGAUACUGCGUCACUUGAGGAUAGGAGAGGCAAGGGGAAUUCCACGUGUAGCGGUGAAAUGCGUAGAGAUGUGGAGGAACACCUGUGGCGAAAGGCGCCUUGCUGGCCUAUUUCUGACGCUGAGGCGCGAAAGCGUGGGGAGCAAACAGGAUUAGAUACCCUGGUAGUCCACGCUGUAACCGAUGAGUGCUAGGUGUAGGUGGGCUCAUACCCAUCUGUGCCGAAGCUAACGCAUUAAAGCACUCCGCCGUUGGGUAGGUUACGGGUUCGGCGAAGACGUUAGAAACGUUACAAAUUAGAAGUUAGACGGCGUUGAGACGUUAGCCGAACGGACGACCGAACGAAGGGGAAGGUAAGGGAG
RNAcentral lists this ribosomal RNA (658 nucleotides) under uncultured bacterium. Its description in RNAcentral is "bacterial SSU rRNA". The stretch from base 1 to 546 matches the Rfam family "Bacterial small subunit ribosomal RNA", at positions 338 to 873 of the family's 1533-position model. The record is from RNAcentral.